UGGGGAAUAUUGCACAAUGGGCGCAAGCCUGGUGCAGCCAUGCCGCGUGUGUGAAGAAGGCCUUCGGGUUGUAAAGCACUUUCAGCGGGGAGGAAGGCGGUGAGGUUAAUAACCUCAUCGAUUGACGUUACCCGCAGAAGAAGCACCGGCUAACUCCGUGCCAGCAGCCGCGGUAAUACGGAGGGUGCAAGCGUUAAUCGGAAUUACUGGGCGUAAAGCGCACGCAGGCGGUUGAUUGAGUCAGAUGUGAAAUCCCCGGGCUUAACCCGGGAAUUGCAUCUGAUACUGGUCAGCUAGAGUCUUGUAGAGGGGGGUAGAAUUCCAUGUGUAGCGGUGAAAUGCGUAGAGAUGUGGAGGAAUACCGGUGGCGAAGGCGGCCCCCUGGACAAAGACUGACGCUCAGGUGCGAAAGCGUGGGGAGCAAACAGG
This 429-nucleotide ribosomal RNA is filed under the name Chloroflexota bacterium. Its description in RNAcentral is "Chloroflexi bacterium partial 16S ribosomal RNA". It matches the Rfam family "Bacterial small subunit ribosomal RNA", at positions 355 to 776 of the family's 1533-position model. Lineage: Bacteria; Bacillati; Chloroflexota. The record is from RNAcentral.